CACUGCCCUGGUCCUGCUGGCCACACUCUUGCUGAUACAGGCCAGGAUGCCACUGGCCUUCUUGGCCACCUGGGCACACUGACAAUGCAUGCUCAGCCACUGUCAGCCAGCACCACCAAGUCCUUUUCUGCCAGGCAGCUUUCCAGCCACUCUGCCCCAGUCUGUAGCACUGUCUGGGGUUGCUGUGACCCAAGAGCAGGACUCAGCACUUCACCCUGUUAUGUCACACCCUUGGCCUUGGCCCACUGAUCCAGCCUGUCCUGAUCCCCCUGCAGAGCCUCCCUGCCCUCUGCAGAUCAACACUCCUGCCCAGCUUGGUGCUGUCUGCAAUUUGUCCAUGUCCUCGCCCAGGUCAUUGAUAAACAUGCUGAACAGGACUGGCCCCAGUACUGAACCCUGGGGGAUGAUAAGUGUGCAUAAACAGAUCUGUGUCUUUGCCAAGUGUUUUCCUUCUUCAGUUAUGAAUGGAGGACUUGGUGUUUUUAAAGAUUAUACAAAGUAUAAAAGGUAUAAAAUAUACAGAUGUAUACUUUUAAAGUUCACCCUCAGUUCCUUCAAAUGUAUACAGACCAAUCACCUCAACAUUUUGGUAUAAUAUUUGCUGAACUUUUGAAAAGGUUUGUUUUUACUUGGUUUUGUUGUUUUGUUUUUUGUUUUAUUCUAUUUUAAAAAUAACUGUUUAUUAAAAUAAAAAUCUUAACAGCUGGUAAUAUUUGUAUUCAAAAAGAGAUUUUAGAAGUGGCUGACUUUACACCGAUAUCUCUUUCCAACACCCCUUCUGGAGGCAGAAAAGUGGAAAGGCAGCUGCAUAUCUCUGUCAUGGCUGAGACUGAACUUGUGCUAAGUAACUUGAGCAGCAACUGAGUGGACUGAGAUGACUGAAGAACUGGCUAGACCUGGGCUGCAGCUCUAGAUAUGGUCUGAUGCUGCUGCCUGGAACGGUAAUGUUACUUCAAAUAAAGCAGAAGAUUUAAUUUCUUGGAUGUUCCUUCUGCCUGGAACCAUUGCUGACCUCUAGCAAAUAAAAAAAUAAAGUCUGCCUGGACUUAUUGACUUGUUUUGUGUGGAGCUAGGGUUAUGGUGUCUGUGAAGACAUAUUGUCAAGUAAGUCUACUAGCAGCAGUAAAAGUGGGAAGUAAGCUUACUAGUAUGCAUCUGAACUGUUUUAAAACUCAGACCAUGACACCAAUGGCUGCAGUACAGAAAGAGGAGAGGCUGCUACUGUGCUCCAGCAGAACUCAAACCAUCUGGCUUAGUUUUUCCUUCGGCUAACAGUAACUUGGCAGUCAGACUGAACAGUUUUCCUGAUGGAAAUCUCCAAUGCACGUGAGUGGUUCAUUCACAGCAGAAACAGACAUACUUUCUACAGUCAUCUGGUGAAAUUCUGACCCAAGUACAUGUGUCUAACAUCUGUGACAGUGGAUAGUUUUGCUACAUUAAGCGUUAAUGAGGUGCAGGUCUGGGGGGUUGUGCUUGUUUUAGCUGGGGUAGUGCUAAUUUUCUUCACAGUAGCUAGACUUGGGCUGUCUUUUGAAUAAUUUGUGAACACAGUGAUGAUAGAGAAGAUACGUUUUUGUUAUUGCUGAGCAGGGCUCACACACAGCCAAGGCCUUUUAUGCUUUUCAUACUGAAUGCUGGUGAGGGGACUGAGGUGCGUGAGAGGUUGGGAGGAAACACAGACAGGAGACUCCAGUUGUCCAAAGGGAUAUUCAAGACCAUGUGACAUCAUGCUCUGUAUGUAAAGUGGGGGGAAGAAGGAAGAAGAGGGGGACAUUUGGAGUUUGUCUUCCCAAGUAUGUGUUGGGCAUGAUGGGGCCCUGCUCUCCUGAAGAUGGCUGUGAAAGGCACUUGUCUGCCUUGUGGAACACUGAAUUCCUUGUUUUGCUUUGCUUGUAUGUGCAGCUUUUUCCUUGCCUAUUGAACAGUCUCUCUCUCAACCCACAAGCCUUCUGGCUUUUAUCCUUCUGAUUCUCCCCCUGAUCUCACUGGUGGGGCAGUGAGGGAGUGACUGUGUGGGGCUUGGCUGCUGCUUGGGGUUAAACCAUGACAGGGUGAGAAGUACCAACAGGCACAAACCGGGCGUAACUGUGGCCAGUCUGAGAGCCAGGAGACUGUCUGAUCACUGGAGCAGGAACAGCUCCUUGGUUUGAGGCCAAAAGCCUAACUUUCAAGUGAGUAUGAGGAGAGUUGGUUCUCUGUUCUUCUGUUCUGACGCCAGUCAGGAAUAACUGUUUGCUAAGUUUAAUGUCUGUAAAGCUGGGCUUGCACACAUUGUCGAGGUCAUGCUUGUUACUGCCAUUAUUGACACUUGCUGAGUAUCACAUGCACUUAAAUUAAGUACUAGCAAUUUCAGGGAGUUCACACAAUGGAAAACUUUGUUCAUGCUGGCAGGAAAUAUACCUUGUAGGUUCAAUUUACAAGGUUUGAGCAAUAUAAUUUAUUUUCCUUUGAAGCUAAAUGCAAAGAUAUCUAUCCCAUGGUCUUCCAGAUAAUAACUCAGUGUCUUAUCUUACCUUCUCUGUUCAUGGUCCCAAAAGAAUAAAAUAACUUGGCAUCAGCA
Passer domesticus (house sparrow) is the source of this 2560-nucleotide long non-coding RNA. RefSeq lists it as uncharacterized. The transcript has 2 exons. NCBI's taxonomy places the organism in Eukaryota, Metazoa, Chordata, Aves, Passeriformes, Passeridae. The record is from RefSeq and is a predicted model, not a curated record.